RNAcentral lists this ribosomal RNA (583 nucleotides) under Trichopezizella sp. FC-2274. Its description in RNAcentral is "eukaryotic LSU rRNA". It matches the Rfam family "Eukaryotic large subunit ribosomal RNA", at positions 54 to 651 of the family's 3401-position model. The record is from RNAcentral. Lineage: Eukaryota; Fungi; Ascomycota; Leotiomycetes; Helotiales; Tricladiaceae.
AGGAAAAGAAACCAACAGGGAUUACCUCAGUAACGGCGAGUGAAGCGGUAACAGCUCAAAUUUGAAAUCUGGCCCUUUUAGGGUCCGAGUUGUAAUUUGUAGAAGAUGCUUUGGGUGUGGCUCCGGUCUAAGUCCCUUGGAACAGGACGUCGUAGAGGGUGAGAACCCCGUAUGUGACUGGUUGCCUCCGCCCGUGUAAAGCUCUUUCGACGAGUCGAGUUGUUUGGGAAUGCAGCUCUAAAUGGGUGGUAAAUUUCAUCUAAAGCUAAAUAUUGGCCAGAGACCGAUAGCGCACAAGUAGAGUGAUCGAAAGAUGAAAAGCACUUUGGAAAGAGAGUUAAACAGUACGUGAAAUUGUUGAAAGGGAAGCGCUUGCAACCAGACUCGCGUGCCGUCGAUCAUCCGGUGUUCUCACCGGUGCACUCGGCGGUGCUCGGGCCAGCAUCAGUUUGGGUGGUGGGAUAAAGGCCUUGGGAAUGUGGCUCCUCUCGGGGAGUGUUAUAGCCCUCGGUGCAAUGCCGCCUACCUGGACUGAGGACCGCGCUUCGGCUAGGAUGCUGGCGUAAUGGUUGUAAGCGACCCG